CUCUUCUCGCGCUUCCUCCCCAAGCCCCACCUCGCCCCACGCCGCCCAUCUCCGCCUCCUCUCUCACGUCCUCCCUGCCGCCAUGGCCUAGCCCACCCUCGUCAUCAACCUCCCUAAGCCCCCUCUCUCUCUCUCUCGGGGGUGCUGCUGGUCGCAAUCUGGACGAAGAAAAGGAGACCCCGGAAGAAGUUAGAGCGUCCUGGUGGUGGCUAGAUCGAUGCGGCCGACGGCGAGUGCCGGUGAGCGACGGGGAGGCCCCUACCUCUCCGCAUCUUCUCCCAGGUUCCCGAUCUGGAGCGGGUGGGACGGACGCCGGCGAGGCCAGCCCCCCCCCCCCCCUCACACGCAGCUGGAGCAUACUUGGUACAUGAGCCUUGCCGUGACUGGUGGUGCAAAGGUGACCUUGACGAGCAGGGCAAUGGCCAGACACGAGUAAGACACCAAAGAUGACUGGAAGCACUCAAAAAAGUUUACCACGCUGGAGCUAUGUCAGGUUGUACGAGGGCAGUUAAUGAAUAUACUUGCGACCCUUUUACUCUCAGACUCUCCUCCUUUUCUCGCUGCUGAACCCCUGCCAUCAUCAUGUCCAGACUGGCUGUCUCCAUGGUUGUGGCGCCAAGGUCACCGCAUCUUACAUCCUGAUGCAUUUUCAAGAAGACAUUAUUUGAUGUUAGAUGGCCAUUAUGUUCGCUUCAUAUGGACAGAGGACUAAUGGUACUCUUCCAUGAAGAGAAGCAAGUGGAUCAGUAUGUAGUAGCAGGUAUCAAUGUUUUCUCAUACUGAUGAUUCUGAAGUAAUUAGAUUGAGAAAAUUGCUUUAUUCCCCAAUUUCUCUCUGAAACCUUUGCCUUGUCCAUAGUCAUACCUAAAUGAGUUACUUUAUUUCCUAUAGCUCUAUUACUUUUUUCCCUAGAACCUGUCUCUUUAGUCUCCUUUACAAUACCAUGAUCAGGAGGCAAGAAAUAUGUGUGAAUGGAAUAAGAACUGUAUAUAGUUAUUGAUAAGCAUCUUCCAGUAUCUAACAUAUAAAGCCUCCUAGAGUACCCGCCAUUCAGGAGGCCUUCCCGUGCGCAUCAUUCCUGUCCGUUCGAUCUCCUUUGACUUUGGCUCCUGGUCGUUCGAUCAUUUGACUGGUGGUAAUUUUUGGUCACUGUGUAAUUAAUUUCUUGGCCUAUGACUGGUGGGCUCAGCACUCACAUGGAUUGGCUGGGUCAGUUGUUCCCUUGUCUGCGAGGGAUUAGGCAGCCACUCCGCGCCCGCCCCGUGCUCGACGUGCACAUCCUGAGCCCCGCGCCCCCUUGGCUCUCUCCUCUCCCUCCUUGUCUCCAACCCUAAACAUUUUCCCUCUCCACCCCACAGCCGCCUCCCCUAGCUCCUCGUCCCCUUCACUCAGUCCAUCCCUCAUCAUCUCGGAUCCAGCGGAUCUGAGGCGUGCGGGUGCGGAGGCGAGUUUCUCCGGCGGUGGCGGCGGCGGUCACCUGCAGGCAAAGGGCGGUGGCGGCACUCGAUUUGAUCUGCAGGAAAGAUAGAACAUGAGGAGAGAGAAGGAAGGAAAGGAGGAACGCCACCAUGGGCGAGGAGGGGCAACAUGGUCUUCGUGGUGGGAAUGGAGGAGCAGAGGAGGAUGGAGGUGGGUGGUGGGAGCAGAGUAGCAGGAGUUCCAGGUCCAGGCGAUGCUCGUGGAGUGGAGAAGCUCGUCGUCCAGCAUCACCAUCCCCAAUCUAGAUCUGAGAUAGAAAAGAAGAGAAAUAAUCUUGUGGAAUUUCUUAUCUGAGAUAGAAAAGAAGAGAAAGAUCUUGUGGAAGAGCUUGACGAAAAAGAAAGGGAUCUGAGAUAGAAAAGAAGAGAAAUAAUCUUGUGGAAUUUCAUAUCUGAGAAAAGAAGAGAAAGAUUCUUGUGGAAGAGCAGCUUGACAAAAAAGAAAGGGGCGGCACAACUGUACACCACCAUGAACAGGUUGUUUCAUCGCUACAACUCAUAUAGCAAGCUAUGCCAGUAUGGCAAUAUCUGAUAGUACGGCUGCUCACGUUUCCAGGGGCAACACUCACAUUUCCCCUCCAAAAUUCAACAUUUUCAUAUUUUGAGGAGCUUCAGUACGUUUGCUCACCGAUGAACUAGAAGUUGUUUUGUGUACUGCAUGAUUGAGGAAGUGCUAUUGCAGAUCAAAGUUGGUAGAAGCAUCUGCUGGGAAUCAAGUGUUACAUGGCUGUGGGUGACAAGGUUAGUGGUUUAGGAGUUCCUGCCAACACUGGCUUUUGGAAUUUAUCCUCGCUUCAUCAGUUGGGAUUUCUGUACAAAACUAAGAUAAUUUAUUUUGGUGCUUGCGAUGAGUAUUAGAUAGAGGGGUGAUGCACACAUACUUCACCCAGUGUAUCUGUUCAUGUAUGUUGUUAAUUGACUAAUUAGACAAAAAACCUCUAUCUGUAUGGUGUUUGUGAUGAUGCUAUCAAUUCACCAAACACUAAAAUACCGGGUUGUGCUUUUCAAAUCUAGCAAAUUAAUUCUCUA
Molecule: long non-coding RNA, 2507 nt
Organism: Triticum aestivum (bread wheat)
Lineage: Eukaryota; Viridiplantae; Streptophyta; Magnoliopsida; Poales; Poaceae
Exons: 10
Source: RefSeq, a predicted model, not a curated record